Molecule: ribosomal RNA, 172 nt
Filed under: Pseudo-nitzschia fraudulenta
Lineage: Eukaryota; Bacillariophyta; Bacillariophyceae; Bacillariales; Bacillariaceae
Description: partial Bacterial large subunit ribosomal RNA
Rfam family: Bacterial large subunit ribosomal RNA
Source: RNAcentral
AAAAUGGGAUAACCGCUGAAAGCAUCUAAGCGGGAAGCCCCUUCCAAGAUGAGAUCUCCCUGGACCCUUGAGGUCCCUGAAGAGCCGUUCAAGACCAGGACGUUGAUAGGCAGGGUGUGUAAGCGUUGUAAGGCGUUGAGCUAACCUGUACUAAUUGCUCGUGAGGCUUGAU